RNAcentral lists this transfer RNA (72 nucleotides) under Marmota monax (woodchuck). RNAcentral describes it as "tRNA.Undet". The record is from RNAcentral. Lineage: Eukaryota; Metazoa; Chordata; Mammalia; Rodentia; Sciuridae.
GGGGUUGUAGGUCAGUGGUAGAGUGCUUGCCUAAGCAUGUGUGAGGCACUGAGUUCAAUUCUCAGCACCACA